This is a long non-coding RNA of Chinchilla lanigera (long-tailed chinchilla), 1911 nucleotides long. RefSeq lists it as uncharacterized. The transcript has 2 exons. The record is from RefSeq and is a predicted model, not a curated record. NCBI's taxonomy places the organism in Eukaryota, Metazoa, Chordata, Mammalia, Rodentia, Chinchillidae.
CUCCGCCCGGGCGUUGGCAGCAGUGCGCGGGGUCUCCUCGGCGGCCGGACAGGGGCACGCACCUGACGUCAACACGCAAGAGACGUGACACAGGAUUGGUCAAUCAGAGCAUUAUAGAGAGCCCCGUAGCCAUCACAUUUCAGCAACAGGCAUGCAACUCGGUGAGGUUCACUUCUGGAACUCGGUCAAAACUGUUCAGUUCAAAAAAUCCAUUCACUGAGGGCAGGAUGUAAUCGUGGGACCACUGGCAGCCAGCUUCCCACUUCAAGGAGAGAGACUGUCAGAGGAUGAGACUACGCUGGAUGGGAGAAACCAAGCAGAGAGAUGGAGAUGCGAACCCUAGUACCAGUGGCACUGCGGGAGCCCCUGGGCCAGUCUUGCUUCAGUUGUCAGUCAUAGCAGCCAGCAGAGUUCCGCUACUGCCCAAGCCAGGCUGAGGAGGCCUCUGUCACAAAUAUAGGACUCUUGCUGAACCUCUCUGCCACCCUGGUCUCUUGUCUGUCCCUGUGGAGUACUUGUUGGCACCCCCUAUAUAGAUGACUUCCAAAUCUCUACCUCUUCUAUCCCCUAUUCCACUCCCAUUUCUAAAUUUCCACCUACUCAGAAGUCCCAUCAGCAUAAUCCAAGUGCUUCUCCAGCUCCUGUCUGCUCCGUAGGAGCAGCACCUAAACCUGCACUUGGCUGCUCCUGCCCCUUUGUAAAUCCAGGGGUGCCCAACCUUUUCUGCAUCUUAGAUCCUAUUUCUACAAAAUGUGUACCCAGUUUCUAGAGGCUUCCUUUAAGAAUCUCUACUUCAUCUCACCUGGUGCAGCAUUCAUCAUUCCAGAUCCCAACUCCCUGCUCCAAAAACCUCAGAGUUUUCUCCUCUGUCUUCAGAACAAUAUUGCAAGUCCUUUAGCUAAGCAUACUGGGUCCUCUGAUGUCUGCCACCAACUUACCAUUCCAGUUAUUUCCUCGUCCUUUCUGGUUCUCCAAUGAAAUAGAACCAAUAGGAUAUAGAUAAAUAGACUGAUGGGGAGAGCAGGAGAGAGAGAGAGAGAGAGAGAGAGAGAUUGGCUCAAUCAUGGAGGCUGCAAGUCCUAAGAUCUGCAGGAUGAAAAGCAAGCUGGAGAGAUCCAGGAAAGCCAAUGGUAUAUAAUUCCAGUGCAAGUUCUAAGGUCUGACAACCAGGAGAGCUGACAGUUUGUCUUAUUACAAAGGCCAGCAGGCUGGAUAUCUAGACAGAAUCGAUGUUUCCAUUUGAAUCUGAAGGCAAGAAAAAUUCUGCCUUACUUGAGAGAGGAUUAGCCUUUUUUUUUUUUUUCUACAUAGGUCCUCAACUGGAUGAGGCCCAUCUAGACAAGGCAGGGUGAUCUGUUUUACUCAGAUUUCUGAUUCAAAUACUAAUCUUAUCCAGAAACACUCUCUUAGACAUUCACAAUGUGUUUGACCAAAUAUCUGGGCACAAGUCAAGUUGACACAUAAAAUUAACCGUCAUGCCUUCUAUUACACAUCUUAGGCCACAGCUAGCCUGACUUAGCCUUGUACAAGCAGGUGCUAUGAUUUCUUGCCUCUCUGCCCCCGCUCAUGCUGUUCCGCUUACCUGAUCCACUUUUCCUGUUCAUCCAUCCUAUCUGUAAAGUCCCAGUCUCAUUCCUGCCAUGGACCACACCUUUUGCCAACACUGACCUUGUCUUUUCCCAUCUCUGCACAGGCCUCAGUAGACUCAAGAGAUUCGCUAUCUUCCAUACUCCUUUCUCUCCCCUUUCAAGAACUAACUUAGGCCUGAGCUCUGAAGCCUCCUGGACAAUCCCAGGCAGCCAAUCAUUCCUAUAAUAGUUGGUAUUUAAAGCAUGCCGUACUGAAAUUUGUAUCAUUUGUAUCUAUGCUAAUUAAAUCAUUAGGCUAAGAACAGGCAGAGGCCUUAUUUUA